CCUACGGGAGGGCAGCAGUGGGGAAUAUUGGACAAUGGGCGAAAGCCUGAUCCAGCCAUGCCGCGUGUGUGAAGAAGGCCUUCGGGUUGUAAAGCACUUUCAGUGGGGAAGAAAGCCUUGGGGCUAAUACCCUCGAGGAAGGACAUCACCCACAGAAGAAGCACCGGCUAACUCCGUGCCAGCAGCCGCGGUAAUACGGAGGGUGCGAGCGUUAAUCGGAAUUACUGGGCGUAAAGCGCGCGUAGGCGGUCUGAUAAGCCGGUUGUGAAAGCCCCGGGCUCAACCUGGGAACGGCAUCCGGAACUGUCAGGCUAGAGUGCAGGAGAGGAAGGUAGAAUUCCCGGUGUAGCGGUGAAAUGCGUAGAGAUCGGGAGGAAUACCAGUGGCGAAGGCGGCCUUCUGGACUGACACUGACGCUGAGGUGCGAAAGCGUGGGUAGCAAACAGGAUUAGAUACCCGAGUAGUC
RNAcentral lists this ribosomal RNA (466 nucleotides) under Vreelandella stevensii. Its description in RNAcentral is "partial 16S ribosomal RNA". It matches the Rfam family "Bacterial small subunit ribosomal RNA", at positions 338 to 795 of the family's 1533-position model. Lineage: Bacteria; Pseudomonadati; Pseudomonadota; Gammaproteobacteria; Oceanospirillales; Halomonadaceae. The record is from RNAcentral.